This 429-nucleotide ribosomal RNA is filed under the name Bacteroidota bacterium. RNAcentral's name for it is "Bacteroidetes bacterium partial 16S ribosomal RNA". It matches the Rfam family "Bacterial small subunit ribosomal RNA", at positions 355 to 776 of the family's 1533-position model. The record is from RNAcentral. Lineage: Bacteria; Pseudomonadati; Bacteroidota.
UAGGGAAUCUUCGGCAAUGGGGGGAACCCUGACCGAGCAACGCCGCGUGAGUGAAGAAGGUUUUCGGAUCGUAAAGCUCUGUUGUUAAGGAAGAACGAGUGUGAGAAUGGAAAGUUCAUACUGUGACGGUACUUAACCAGAAAGGGACGGCUAACUACGUGCCAGCAGCCGCGGUAAUACGUAGGUCCCGAGCGUUGUCCGGAUUUAUUGGGCGUAAAGCGAGCGCAGGCGGUUAGAUAAGUCUGAAGUUAAAGGCAGUGGCUCAACCAUUGUAGGCUUUGGAAACUGUUUAACUUGAGUGCAGAAGGGGAGAGUGGAAUUCCGUGUGUAGCGGAGAAAUGCGUAGAUAUAUGGAGGAACACCGGUGGCGAAAGCGGCUCUCUGGUCUGUAUCUGACGCUGAGGCUCGAAAGCGUGGGGAGCGAACAGG